UCAUAUGCUUGUCUCAAAGAUUAAGCCAUGCAUGUCUAAGUAUAAGCAAUUAUACGGCGAAACUGCGAAUGGCUCAUUAUAUAAGUUAUCGUCUAUUUGAUAGCACCUUUCUACUUGGAUAACCGUGGUAAUUCUAGAGCUAAUACAUGCUAAAAAUCCCGACUUCGGAAGGGAUGUAUUUAUUAGAUUAAAAACCAAUGCCCUCUGGGCUCUCUGGUGAUUCAUGAUAACUUGGCGAAUCGCAUGGCCUUGCGCUGGCGAUGGUUCAUUCAAAUUUCUUCCCUAUCAACUUUCGAUGUUUGGGUAGUGGCCAAACAUGGUUACAACGGGUAACGGAGGGUUAGGGCUCGACCCCGGAGAAGGAGCCUGAGAAACGGCUACUACAUCCAAGGAAGGCAGCAGGCGCGCAAAUUACCCAAUCCCGAUUCGGGGAGGUAGUGACAAUAAAUACUGAUACAGGGCUCUUUUGGGUCUUGUAAUUGGAAUGAGUACAAUUUAAAUCCCUUAACGAGGAACAAUUGGAGGGCAAGUCUGGUGCCAGCAGCCGCGGUAAUUCCAGCUCCAAUAGCGUAUAUUAAAGUUGUUGUGGUUAAAAAGCUCGUAGUUGAACCUUGGGCCUGGCUGGCCGGUCCGCCUCACCGCGUGUACUGGUCCGGCCGGGUCUUUCCCUCUGUGGAACCCCAUGCCCUUCACUGGGUGUGGCGGGGAAACAGGACUUUUACUUUGAAAAAAUUAGAGUGCUCCAGGCAGGCCUAUGCUCGAAUACAUUAGCAUGGAAUAAUGAAAUAGGACGUGCGGUUCUAUUUUGUUGGUUUCUAGGACCGCCGUAAUGAUUAAUAGGGACAGUCGGGGGCAUCAGUAUUCAAUUGUCAGAGGUGAAAUUCUUGGAUUUAUUGAAGACUAACUACUGCGAAAGCAUUUGCCAAGGAUGUUUUCAUUAAUCAGGAACGAAAGUUAGGGGAUCGAAGACGAUCAGAUACCGUCGUAGUCUUAACCAUAAACUAUGCCGACUAGGGAUCGGACGAUGUUAUUUUUUGACUCGUUCGGCACCUUACGAGAAAUCAAAGUGCUUGGGCUCCAGGGGGAG
RNAcentral lists this ribosomal RNA (1087 nucleotides) under Conoideocrella luteorostrata. RNAcentral's name for it is "SSU rRNA". It matches the Rfam family "Eukaryotic small subunit ribosomal RNA", at positions 24 to 1123 of the family's 1831-position model. The record is from RNAcentral. Lineage: Eukaryota; Fungi; Ascomycota; Sordariomycetes; Hypocreales; Clavicipitaceae.